GGGAUGUGGCGGAAUGGUAGACGCGUCGGACUUAAAAUCCGGCGAUAGUAAUAUCGUAAGGGUUCAAGUCCCUUCAUCCCC
RNAcentral lists this transfer RNA (81 nucleotides) under pig gut metagenome. It matches the Rfam family "tRNA". From Rfam's summary of the family: Transfer RNA (tRNA) molecules are approximately 80 nucleotides in length. The record is from RNAcentral.